Molecule: transfer RNA, 72 nt
Organism: Camelus ferus (Wild Bactrian camel)
Lineage: Eukaryota; Metazoa; Chordata; Mammalia; Artiodactyla; Camelidae
Rfam family: tRNA
About the family: Transfer RNA (tRNA) molecules are approximately 80 nucleotides in length. Their secondary structure includes four short double-helical elements and three loops (D, anti-codon, and T loops). Further hydrogen bonds mediate the characteristic L-shaped molecular structure. tRNAs have two regions of fundamental functional importance: the anti-codon, which is responsible for specific mRNA codon recognition, and the 3' end, to which the tRNAs corresponding amino acid is attached (by aminoacyl-tRNA synthetases). tRNAs cope with the degeneracy of the genetic code in two manners: having more than one tRNA (with a specific anti-codon) for a particular amino acid; and 'wobble' base-pairing, i.e. permitting non-standard base-pairing at the 3rd anti-codon position.
Source: Rfam
GAGGGUAUAGGUCAGUGGUAGAGUGCUUGCUUAGUAUGCAUGAGGUCCUCGGUUCAAUCCCCAGCACCUCCA